GACGAACGCUGGCGGCGUGCUUAACACAUGCAAGUCGAGCGGUAAGGCCCUUUCGGGGGUACACGAGCGGCGAACGGGUGAGUAACACGUGGGUGACCUGCCCUCAGCUCUGGGAUAAGCCUGGGAAACUGGGUCUAAUACCGGAUAUGACUCCAUGACGCAUGUUGUGGGGUGGAAAGCCUUGUGCGGCUGAGGAUGGGCCCGCGGCCUAUCAGCUUGUUGGUGGGGNGAUGGCCUACCAAGGCGACGACGGGUAGCCGGCCUGAGAGGGCGACCGGCCACACUGGGACUGAGACACGGCCCAGACUCCUACGGGAGGCAGCAGUGGGGAAUCUUGCGCAAUGGGCGAAAGCCUGACGCAGCGACGCCGCGUGAGGGAUGACGGCCU
RNAcentral lists this ribosomal RNA (388 nucleotides) under uncultured bacterium. Its description in RNAcentral is "bacterial SSU rRNA". It matches the Rfam family "Bacterial small subunit ribosomal RNA", at positions 28 to 417 of the family's 1533-position model. The record is from RNAcentral.